This 414-nucleotide ribosomal RNA is filed under the name uncultured prokaryote. RNAcentral's name for it is "bacterial SSU rRNA". It matches the Rfam family "Bacterial small subunit ribosomal RNA", at positions 505 to 918 of the family's 1533-position model. The record is from RNAcentral.
GUGUCAGCAGCCGCGGUAAGACGGAGGGGGCUAGCGUUGUUCGGAAUUACUGGGCGUAAAGCGCGCGUAGGCGGAUGUGCAAGUUGGAGGUGAAAGCCCGGGGCUCAACCUCGGAAUUGCCUUCAAAACUGCACAUCUAGAGGCCGGGAGAGGGUAGCGGAAUUACCAGUGUAGAGGUGAAAUUCGUAGAUAUUGGGAAGAACACCGGUGGUGAAGGCGGCUACCUGGACCGAUCCUGGCGCUGGGGUGCGAAAGCGUGGGUAGCAAACAGGAUUAGAUACCCUGGUAGUCCACGCCGUAAACGAUGGGUGCUAGCUGUUGGGGAGCCUAGCUCUUCAGUGGCGCAGCUAACGCGUUAAGCACCCCGCCUGGGGAGUACGGCCGCAAGGUUAAAACUCAAAUGAAUUGACGGGG